GUCCCAGGGAUAAUUUAAAAGAAAUAAAAAACAAAUAUGGCUUAAUUAGACAGUAGUGCAAGGGAGGGGGACUAAACGCGGAAAUUAUCCAUUUAGAGAAAUCAUGCGCAUGAACCAAGUCAAAAAAGCUGUCUGUUCCUUCCCCCAAUGCCAUUUCCUUUUAUUAACCAUUAAAACCCCUUUUUUUUUUUUUUUCUGUCAAAAAACGUUUUAACCUUUAUUUUUUAAAAAAAGAAACCCAAAAAUGUUUUAUGAAAUUCCUUAUUCUCCCUUACUAUCCCUUUUGUCUUCCAGCCGAAAAGGCCACCAAUGGUUCACCCAACCGCCGCCGUGACUCCGGUGAGUCUCCCUUCGUCGACGCGAGCACGACGUGACUCCGGUGUUGUGAUGUCGUGGAGGAGUGCACGAUCGUGGGGCAUGGAUGCGCGAGAUAGAGGUCGCGUGUGGGCGUGCCGACGUGCGUGGGAAGCUGAUCAUGGGGGCUACAGCGCCAACUGCUUUCAGAACUCUUAGUGUUGUUGGAAUUUUAUGUUAUUGGCUUAGGCCAUUUAGGCCAGCUAGGGAGUUGGGCCACUACAAUUUGGGCUUGUUUAAAUUUGGGAUUGGUUUCUUUUUUGUUUUAAUUAUUUUUGCUUUUAUGUGUAUAUGGGCUAUAAUUGGGUAUUUGGACCGGGCAAAAAUUGGGUUUUACAAUUAUAAUUUGAAUUUAAUAAUAAAACAUGAAAGAAAUAUAAAAUAAAUGAAUCAAAUUCAUCAUCUUUUAUCA
Long non-coding RNA from Gossypium arboreum, 766 nucleotides. RefSeq lists it as uncharacterized. The transcript has 2 exons. The record is from RefSeq and is a predicted model, not a curated record. NCBI's taxonomy places the organism in Eukaryota, Viridiplantae, Streptophyta, Magnoliopsida, Malvales, Malvaceae.